This 127-nucleotide ribosomal RNA is filed under the name Propithecus coquereli (Coquerel's sifaka). The record is from RNAcentral. Lineage: Eukaryota; Metazoa; Chordata; Mammalia; Primates; Indriidae.
GUCUACGGCCACACCACCCUGAACGCGCCUGAUCUCAUCUGAUCUUGGAAGCUAAGCAGGGUGGGUCCUGGUUAGUACUUGGAUGGGAGAAACAGUAUUUAUCAAGCUUGAUAGGGUCUUGUCCACC